Molecule: ribosomal RNA, 792 nt
Filed under: uncultured archaeon
Lineage: Archaea
Description: bacterial SSU rRNA
Rfam family: Archaeal small subunit ribosomal RNA
Source: RNAcentral
ACUGCUCAGUAACACGUGGACAACGUGCCCUAUAGUGGGGGAUAAUCUCGGGAAACUGAGGAUAAUACCCCAUAGGCCAUGGGAUCUGGAAUGACCCAUGGCUCAAAGUUCCGGCGCUAUAGGAUCGGUCUGCGGCCUAUCAGGUAGUAGUGGGUGUAACGUACCCCCUAGCCAUUGACGGGUAUGGGCCUUGAGAGAGGGAGCCCAGAGUUGGAUUCUGAGACACGAAUCCAGGCCCUACGGGGCGCAGCAGUCGCGAAAACUUCACAAUGGGCGAAAGCCCGAUGAGGGAAUUCCAAGUGCGUAUACAUUAGUAUACGCUUUUGUUCAGCGUAGAUAACUGGACGAAUAAGGGCUGGGUAAGACGGGUGCCAGCCGCCGCGGUAAUACCCGCAGCCCGAGUGGUGGUCGAUUUUAUUGAGUCUAAAACGUUCGUAGCCGGUUUAGUAAAUCUCUGGGUAAAUCGGAAGGCUCAACUUUCCGAAUUCCGGAGAGACUGCUAGACUUGGGAUCGGGAGAGGUAAGAGGUACUUCAGGGGUAGGGGUAAAAUCCUGUAAUCCUUGGAGGACCACCGGUGGCGAAGGCGUCUUACUAGAACGAAUCCGACGGUGAGGGACGAAGCCCUAGGUCGCAAACGGGAUUAGAUACCCCGGUAGUCUAGGGUGUAAACGCUGCAGACUUGGUGUUGGGGACCCUUCGUGGGUAUUCAGUGCCGGAGAGAAGUUGUUAAGUCUGCUACUUGGGGAGUACGUCCGCAAGGAUGAAACUUAAAGGAAUUGGCGGGGGAGCAC